RNAcentral lists this unclassified non-coding RNA (329 nucleotides) under soil metagenome. RNAcentral describes it as "partial contains 5.8S ribosomal RNA, internal transcribed spacer 2, and large subunit ribosomal RNA". The stretch from base 1 to 120 matches the Rfam family "5.8S ribosomal RNA", at positions 35 to 154 of the family's 154-position model. The record is from RNAcentral.
GAUGAAGAACGCAGCGAAAUGCGAUAAGUAAUGUGAAUUGCAGAAUUCAGUGAAUCAUCGAAUCUUUGAACGCACAUUGCGCCCCUUGGUAUUCCGAGGGGCAUGCCUGUUCGAGCGUCAUUAUAACCCCUCAAGCUCAGCUUGGUGUUGGGGCCUGCUGCACUGGCAGCCCUUAAAAUCAGUGGCGGCGCCAUCUGGCUCUAAGCGUAGUAAUUCUUCUCGCUAUGGAGUCCUGGUGGAUGCUUGCCAUCAAACCCCAAUUUUUCUAUGGUUGACCUCGGAUCAGGUAGGGAUACCCGCUGAACUUAAGCAUAUCAAUAAGCGGAGGA